ACUUUUAUACAUUAUAAAAUAGUGAUCCAAUUUUAUUCUCUUUUACACACAAAUAAAAAAUAAUAUGGCUGAAAUUUUUAAGUUUGUUUAUGUCAUAGUUCUAUAUUUUUCACUAUUUCUUGCUGCAAUGAAUAGUGAUGCAAUAAGCUGUGAGGCAGAUUUCGAUUGUCCACCAAAGAUGUGUGUGCUUCCUAAUGUUGUGAAGUGUAUUAGUAGAAAGUGUACAUGUAUUAAAAAAUAAAGAAAUAAUUAGUUCUUGCACUAGCAAAGAUCUAAAUAAUUAUGUCAUUUAAAGCUUUAGGCGGUAUCUAAUAAUUGAAGUUUUAGUUAUUUUUCUUUCUAAAUCUCUCGAACCUUUCGAUUAUUGAAUUGUAUUCUUAAGACAGAUUUUUUUAAAUUUACUAUUGGUUUUUCCA
This is a long non-coding RNA of Vicia villosa (hairy vetch), 416 nucleotides long. RefSeq lists it as uncharacterized. The transcript has 2 exons. The record is from RefSeq and is a predicted model, not a curated record. Lineage: Eukaryota; Viridiplantae; Streptophyta; Magnoliopsida; Fabales; Fabaceae.